Molecule: transfer RNA, 75 nt
Filed under: Dictyobacter arantiisoli
Lineage: Bacteria; Bacillati; Chloroflexota; Ktedonobacteria; Ktedonobacterales; Dictyobacteraceae
Description: tRNA-Ala
Rfam family: tRNA
About the family: Transfer RNA (tRNA) molecules are approximately 80 nucleotides in length. Their secondary structure includes four short double-helical elements and three loops (D, anti-codon, and T loops).
Source: RNAcentral
UGGGGAUGUAGCUUAGUUGGUAGAGCGCCGCCUUUGCACGGCGGAGGUCAGGAGUUCGAGUCUCCUCAUCUCCAU